Molecule: unclassified non-coding RNA, 377 nt
Filed under: Limosilactobacillus fermentum
Lineage: Bacteria; Bacillati; Bacillota; Bacilli; Lactobacillales; Lactobacillaceae
Description: contains 16S-23S intergenic spacer region
Source: RNAcentral
UCCGGUUUGUCACCGGCAGUCUCACUAGAGUGCCCAACUUAAUGCUGGCAACUAGUAACAAGGGUUGCGCUCGUUGCGGGACUUAACCCAACAUCUCACGACACGAGCUGACGACGACCAUGCACCACCUGUCAUUGCGUUCCCGAAGGAAACGCCCUAUCUCUAGGGUUGGCGCAAGAUGUCAAGACCUGGUAAGGUUCUUCGCGUAGCUUCGAAUUAAACCACAUGCUCCACCGCUUGUGCGGGCCCCCGUCAAUUCCUUUGAGUUUCAACCUUGCGGUCGUACUCCCCAGGCGGAGUGCUUAAUGCGUUAGCUCCGGCACUGAAGGGCGGAAACCCUCCAACACCUAGCACUCAUCGUUUACGGCAUGGACUAC